Molecule: long non-coding RNA, 270 nt
Filed under: Gallus gallus (chicken)
Lineage: Eukaryota; Metazoa; Chordata; Aves; Galliformes; Phasianidae
Description: long non-coding RNA NONGGAT003886
Source: RNAcentral
UAGAUGAGCAGUUCUGAAUAGUUUUGAAUUAUAGAUUUUGCCUUACUUCUGUUCUCGGUAACUUCGUCCUUCAUUCUCCUUAUAACUAUGAAGGUGAUUCUUUUCCUCCUUCCAAAUAGAGAGCGAGCCAUUGGUUUUGUAUGCCAUUCAUGCAUGUCUUCUUUGAUUCUUAUAUUUUCCUAUACCUGGCCUCCUUUUGUUUCUAAAUCUGAAUUUGUGUGUUUUCUACAGCCUUUUCUUUCAUUUCUUUGUCUUUAGUCUUCUUUUAUU